GACGAACGCUGGCGGCGUGCCUAAUACAUGCAAGUUGAGCGAUGAAGCUUGGUGCUUGCCCCAAUUUGAAGAGCAGCGAACGGGUGAGUAACGCGUGGGGAAUCUGCCUUUGAGCGGGGGACAACAUUUGGAAACGAAUGCUAAUACCGCAUAACAACUUUAAACAUAAGUUUUAAGUUUGAAAGAUGCAAUUGCAUCACUCAAAGAUGAUCCCGCGUUGUAUUAGCUAGUUGGUGAGGUAAAGGCUCACCAAGGCGAUGAUACAUAGCCGACCUGAGAGGGUGAUCGGCCACAUUGGGACUGAGACACGGCCCAAACUCCUACGGGAGGCAGCAGUAGGGAAUCUUCGGCAAUGGACGAAAGUCUGACCGAGCAACGCCGCGUGAGUGAAGAAGGGUUUCGGAUCGUAAAACUCUGUUGGUAGAGAAGAACGUUGGUGAGAGUGGAAAGCUCAUCAAGUGACGGUAACUACCCAGAAAGGGACGGCUAACUACGUG
Molecule: ribosomal RNA, 497 nt
Filed under: uncultured bacterium
Lineage: Bacteria
Description: partial 16S ribosomal RNA
Rfam family: Bacterial small subunit ribosomal RNA
Source: RNAcentral